CAGCAGCCGCGGGAAUACGUAGGGGGCAAGCGUUGUCCGGAAUUAUUGGGCGUAAAGCGCGCGCAGGCGGUUUUUUAAGUCUGGUGUCUAAGUGCGGGGCUCAACCCCGUGACGCACUGGAAACUGGGAGACUUGAGUGCAGAAGAGGAGAGCGGAAUUCCACGUGUAGCGGUGAAAUGCGUAGAGAUGUGGAGGAACACCAGUGGCGAAGGCGGCUCUCUGGACUGUAACUGACGCUGAGGCGCGAAAGCGUGGGGAGCAAACAGGAUUAGAUACCCCAGUAGUCCCUGUCUCUUAUACA
Molecule: ribosomal RNA, 301 nt
Filed under: uncultured bacterium
Lineage: Bacteria
Description: partial 16S ribosomal RNA
Rfam family: Bacterial small subunit ribosomal RNA
Source: RNAcentral